Molecule: non-coding RNA, 1049 nt
Organism: Paramuricea clavata
Lineage: Eukaryota; Metazoa; Cnidaria; Anthozoa; Malacalcyonacea; Plexauridae
Source: the annotation of a GenBank genome assembly
AAAAAUUAAUACAUUUUGUCAAAAAUACUGUCUGUUUGAGAUCUUGUUGAAAACAACUCAACUUUCUGGUCUGGAAAUAGUCUUAACAUUAAUACUUAAUUUAAUUGUAACACUAGUCAUAGUUCCUAUUCCCCAGUCAUAGCCAAGUAUAGGGGUGCUAUUUGUUUGGAUACUGGAUAUGCCAGAUGGUUGACAAUUAUUUAUGGUAAAAUAAUGACUUUGAUUGGUUAUAAAGUAAGAGAAAGAACUUCACAAUCUAACGUUGAUAAACCUGCAUAGUUGCAAAAGCCUUGCCCUCGAAGUUCAAUGGUAAAAUCCACUUUUUGCAUUGGCAAACGAGCAUGACAAUAUGCCAGCAUAAAGUUCCCUACUUUUUUAACCAUCUCAAAUCAUUUUUAACCUGUCCGGCCCAGAUAUCCAGCCAGAUAUGAUAUCCAGUCCAUCCCUAGCCAAAUAUUAUAAUGAUGUCGAUUUGUAUGCCAUUGCUUGCCAUUCAUCAGUGCUGCCUAGCAACCAAAGUGGACAUUAUGCUUGGAACUUAAAAGCGUAUCAGAUAUAUACAACAAGGAAAACUCCAGAGGAUUUUCUUUAUGUCUCAUUAAAAUUUAAUAAGUUGUCAUUGAAAGCAUUCUUCUAUAGGCUAUACAGGGUGUAUCAAAAUAAACGCAAUUCAUCUUUUGUGCUUAAUAACUUUCGAAAUACUAUUUCUAGUUACACGCUUUUAGGCUUACUUCAAAGCCUGUUCUUUUCUCUUUCAAACAAACUAUUAUCCUUGUCUCCAAUACUAGUAAUAAUUGCACAGGAAAAGAUUUAGUAAAACCUAUCAUUUUUAGUUGCUGUUUAAUUAUGCAAGUUUACUAUGUUAUUGUUUAGUCGAUUUAAAUGUUAGAAUUUUCUUCUUUAAACUUUAAUGUUGUCGUCACUACAUCUGGAAAACCACGUAAGAACAAAUUAAAAGUAUUUUAAAAGAGACCCGGUUGUUUGAAAAUCCUAAACGAAUGCUAAAAAUCGUCAAAACAUUCUGGUGUCUGAGCCAGAGUGUCAUCGAA